GCACUUUCAAGAAUUUAAAAUGCAAAAAAAGGGCAUCCACAAAUUCAAAAAUAACACAAAAUUACACGAUCAUGAGAAGCAAAGUGAGAGCAAAACAAAAGCAUUAAAACAAACAAAUCUUAGAGAUCUCAACACAAGUUGUGGUUGAUAUCCAAUCUCACCACACUCCUACUUGUUACACACUGCAAAACAAAAACCACUUUAACAUAUAAAAAACUCUCUUUGCUGUCGCCUCCCUUCCAUCUUCCUCCGAUUUACCGGAAAAAAGAAAGGAAAGAAAGAAGGAAAGAGAGAAAGAAUAUCACAGCACACACACAAA
This 319-nucleotide unclassified non-coding RNA is filed under the name Hevea brasiliensis (rubber tree). Lineage: Eukaryota; Viridiplantae; Streptophyta; Magnoliopsida; Malpighiales; Euphorbiaceae. The record is from RNAcentral.